Molecule: ribosomal RNA, 389 nt
Filed under: uncultured bacterium
Lineage: Bacteria
Description: bacterial SSU rRNA
Rfam family: Bacterial small subunit ribosomal RNA
Source: RNAcentral
AUUGAACGCUGGCGGCAUGCCUUACACAUGCAAGUCGAACGGCAGCACGGGAGCUUGCUCCUGGUGGCGAGUGGCGAACGGGUGAGUAAUACAUCGGAACGUACCCCGAAGUGGGGGAUAACGUAGCGAAAGUUACGCUAAUACCGCAUAUUCUGUGAGCAGGAAAGAGGGGGAUCGCAAGACCUCUUGCUUUAGGAGCGGCCGAUGUCGGAUUAGCUAGUUGGUGAGGUAAAGGCUCACCAAGGCGACGAUCCGUAGCGGGUCUGAGAGGAUGAUCCGCCACACUGGGACUGAGACACGGCCCAGACUCCUACGGGAGGCAGCAGUGGGGAAUUUUGGACAAUGGGCGCAAGCCUGAUCCAGCCAUGCCGCGUGAGUGAAGAAGGCCU